RNAcentral lists this ribosomal RNA (254 nucleotides) under uncultured bacterium. Its description in RNAcentral is "partial 16S ribosomal RNA". It matches the Rfam family "Bacterial small subunit ribosomal RNA", at positions 107 to 354 of the family's 1533-position model. The record is from RNAcentral.
UGAGUAACACGUGAGUGACCUGCCUUUUAGACUGGAACAACUUACCGAAAGGUGAGCUAAUGCCGGAUGAGUUAUAUAAGUGCAUGUUUAUAUAGGAAAAGUUGGGGAGACCUGACGCUGAAAGAUGGACUCGCGUCCCAUUAACUAGUUGGUAGGGUAAUGGCCUACCAAGGCGACGAUGGGUAGCCGGCCUGAGAGGGUGGCCGGCCACACUGGGACUGAGACACGGCCCAGACUCCUACGGGAGGCAGCAG